RNAcentral lists this transfer RNA (76 nucleotides) under Firmicutes bacterium CAG:555. Its description in RNAcentral is "transfer RNA-Thr(GGT)". It matches the Rfam family "tRNA". From Rfam's summary of the family: Transfer RNA (tRNA) molecules are approximately 80 nucleotides in length. RNAcentral also lists the same sequence under 7 other names. Lineage: Bacteria; Bacillati; Bacillota. The record is from RNAcentral.
GCUGCUGUAGCUCAGUCGGUAGAGCGCAUCCUUGGUAAGGAUGAGGUCACCAGUUCGAAUCUGGUCAGCAGCUCCA